RNAcentral lists this ribosomal RNA (1373 nucleotides) under uncultured bacterium. RNAcentral's name for it is "bacterial SSU rRNA". It matches the Rfam family "Bacterial small subunit ribosomal RNA", at positions 28 to 1381 of the family's 1533-position model. The record is from RNAcentral.
GAUGAACGCUGGCGGCGUGCCUAAUACAUGCAAGUCGAGCGAACGGACGAGAAGCUUGCUUCUCUGAUGUUAGCGGCGGACGGGUGAGUAACACGUGGAUAACCUACCUAUAAGACUGGGAUAACUUCGGGAAACCGGAGCUAAUACCGGAUAAUAUUUUGAACCGCAUGGUUCAAAAGUGAAAGACGGUCUUGCUGUCACUUAUAGAUGGAUCCGCGCUGCAUUAGCUAGUUGGUAAGGUAACGGCUUACCAAGGCAACGAUGCAUAGCCGACCUGAGAGGGUGAUCGGCCACACUGGAACUGAGACACGGUCCAGACUCCUACGGGAGGCAGCAGUAGGGAAUCUUCCGCAAUGGGCGAAAGCCUGACGGAGCAACGCCGCGUGAGUGAUGAAGGUCUUCGGAUCGUAAAACUCUGUUAUUAGGGAAGAACAUAUGUGUAAGUAACUGUGCACAUCUUGACGGUACCUAAUCAGAAAGCCACGGCUAACUACGUGCCAGCAGCCGCGGUAAUACGUAGGUGGCAAGCGUUAUCCGGAAUUAUUGGGCGUAAAGCGCGCGUAGGCGGUUUUUUAAGUCUGAUGUGAAAGCCCACGGCUCAACCGUGGAGGGUCAUUGGAAACUGGAAAACUUGAGUGCAGAAGAGGAAAGUGGAAUUCCAUGUGUAGCGGUGAAAUGCGCAGAGAUAUGGAGGAACACCAGUGGCGAAGGCGACUUUCUGGUCUGUAACUGACGCUGAUGUGCGAAAGCGUGGGGAUCAAACAGGAUUAGAUACCCUGGUAGUCCACGCCGUAAACGAUGAGUGCUAAGUGUUAGGGGGUUUCCGCCCCUUAGUGCUGCAGCUAACGCAUUAAGCACUCCGCCUGGGGAGUACGACCGCAAGGUUGAAACUCAAAGGAAUUGACGGGGACCCGCACAAGCGGUGGAGCAUGUGGUUUAAUUCGAAGCAACGCGAAGAACCUUACCAAAUCUUGACAUCCUUUGACCGCUCUAGAGAUAGAGCCUUCCCCUUCGGGGGGGCAAAGUGACAGGUGGUGCAUGGUUGUCGUCAGCUCGUGUCGUGAGAUGUUGGGUUAAGUCCCGCAACGAGCGCAACCCUUAAGCUUAGUUGCCAUCAUUAAGUUGGGCACUCUAAGUUGACUGCCGGUGACAAACCGGAGGAAGGUGGGGAUGACGUCAAAUCAUCAUGCCCCUUAUGAUUUGGGCUACACACGUGCUACAAUGGACAAUACAAAGGGCAGCGAAACCGCGAGGUCAAGCAAAUCCCAUAAAGUUGUUCUCAGUUCGGAUUGUAGUCUGCAACUCGACUACAUGAAGCUGGAAUCGCUAGUAAUCGUAGAUCAGCAUGCUACGGUGAAUACGUUCCCGGGUCU